This is a long non-coding RNA of Ruditapes philippinarum (Manila clam), 3034 nucleotides long. RefSeq lists it as uncharacterized. NCBI's taxonomy places the organism in Eukaryota, Metazoa, Mollusca, Bivalvia, Venerida, Veneridae. The transcript has 4 exons. The record is from RefSeq and is a predicted model, not a curated record.
CACACUCGCCUCGGAUGUGAUACGCACACAAUAACAGUAUGUAUAGGUCAUAUUUUAUUUUAAAAAUUUUAAAAUUAAAACGUGAAGAUGAUGUGGCGUUUGAAAGAAGAUAUUGAUUCGGAUACUUUGUACAAUAACGAUGAGGAAAUCGGCGCUAGUAGGCCCUACAGGUCUGUGUCCGCCCUGAAGAAGAUCUUCAUUUUUUGAAGGUGAAGCUACAAUAUUUGUCUUGAACUUGACUUUACUAGCUGGGCUUAUAAAGACAAGAUAUCCAGAAGUGAUUUCAUAGAGAAAUGGAAAUCAAUAAUACCUAGAAGCAUGUGAAGUGGAGAUGAAGUGAUGCUGAGAACUUUCAAGGAAACUUCUCAGUGAAAUACGAUGAUGGCACACAAGAGUACCUUCUUCAUGUUCUUCAUGGGAUAAAGCACAGGAUCAUUAUAAUCAGGAGUUACUCACAGGAUCAUUAUAAUCAGGAGUUACUCACAGGAUCAUUAUAAUCAGGAGUUACUCACAGGAUCAUUAUAAUCAGGAGUUACUAGUACUCAGUCAACAUAGACUCAAUUUUAGAAAAGAAUUUAAUGGAUAUUAAUGUUAGCUUAAAAAUAUUUGACCUAGAGUCUUUAGUUUGUGUUGGGGCCCCCAUGUCCUUUGGAUACUUUUCUAGUUACAAUUUAUUUAGACAUUAGUGUAAAUACAACAAAAUUAAUUAUUUAAUGCUGUUCAUGUUUGAACUAUGUUUUAAUCUUACCUACAUGUAUAAAAAUCAAACAUUUUUAGCUCGAUUAUUUGAUAAGAAUAAGUAUAGCUAUUGUAGUCACCCGAGUGGCGGCGUAACCUCCUAUGUUAAAGUUUUUGUAAUACCACAAAUAUUUUCAAAGUCCGUUAUUAAGAUUUUUCUUGUUAUAAAUAAAUGUUCCGCCGGCAGAACAGAAUCACUUAUGAUUAUCUCCUAUGUUUAAAUUGAUGUUAUCAUAUUUAUGAUCCGUCAGCAGAACAAUUUCAAAUCAAUUUUAUUAAAUGAUAUUCUUUCUGAAUUAUAUUUUUAAUUAAACCUAAAAAGGUUGUUAAGAAUUUUCUUGUUAUAAAUAAAUGUUCCGCCGGCAGAACAGAAUCACUUAUGGUUAUAUCCUAUGUUUAAAUUGAUGUUAUCAAACUUAUGUUCCGCCGGCAGAACAAUUUCAAAUCAAUUUUAUUAAAUGAUAUUCUUUCUGAAUUAUAUUUUUGAUUAAACCUAAAAAGGUUAUUAAGAUUUUUCUUGUUAUAAAUAAAUGUUCCGCCGGCAGAACAGAAUCACUUAUGGUUAUUUCCUAUGUUUAAAUUGAUGUUAUCAAACUUAUGUUCCGCCGGCAGAACAAUUUCAAAUCAAUUUUAUUAAAUGAUAUUCUUUCUGAAUUAUAUUUUUGAUUAAACCUAAAAAGGUUAUUAAGAUUUUUCUUGUUAUAAAUAAAUGUUCCGCCGGCAGAACAGAAUCACUUAUGCUUAUAUCCUAUGUUUAAAUUGAUGUUAUCAUAUUUAUGUUCCGCCAGCAGAACAAUUUCAAAUCAAUUUUAUUAAAUGAUAUUCUUUCUGAAUUAUAUUUUUAAUUAAACCUAAAAAGGUUGUUAAGAAUUUUCUUGUUAUAAAUAAAUGUUCCGCCGGCAGAACAGAAUCACUUAUGGUUAUAUCCUAUGUUUAAAUUGAUGUUAUCAAACUUAUGUUCCGCCGGCAGAACAAUUUCAAAUCAAUUUUAUUAAAUGAUAUUCUUUCUGAAUUAUAUUUUUGAUUAAACCUAAAAAGGUUAUUAAGAUUUUUCUUGUUAUAAAUAAAUGUUCCGCCGGCAGAACAGAAUCACUUAUGGUUAUAUCCUAUGUUUAAAUUGAUGUUAUCAAACUUAUGUUCCGCCGGCAGAACAAUUUCAAAUCAAUUUUAUUAAAUGAUAUUCUUUCUGAAUUAUAUUUUUGAUUAAACCUAAAAAGGUUAUUAAGAUUUUUCUUGUUAGAAAUAAAUGUUCCGCCCGCAGAACAGAAUCACUUAUGGUUAUAUCCUAUGUUUAAAUUGAUGUUAUCAAACUUAUGUUCCGCCCGCAGAACAAUUUCAAAUCAAUUUUUAUUAAAUGAUAUUCUUUCUGAAUUAUAUUUUUGUUUAAACCUAAAAAGGUUGUUAAGAAUUUUAAUAUAUUGUAAUAAGUAAAUGUUCUGCCGGCGGAACAGGAUUUUUUAUGAAUUUAUAAAUUUUUCCUUUGCGUUAGAGUGAAUCAUAUUUCUGUUCUGCUGGCGGAACAAUUUCAAAUGAUUACAUUAUUUGAUUUUAAUUUAAGAAAUAUAUUUUUGACAAAAUUUUGCAAAGGUGUUAAAAAUUGUAUCUUGUAGUAAAUAAAUGUUCCGCCGGCAGAACAGAAUCACCUACGGUUUUAUCCUAUAGAUGUUUAAAUUGAUGUUAUCAUACUUUUGUUCCGCCGGCAGAACAAUUUCAAAUCAAUUUUAUUAAAUGAUAUUCUUUCUGAGUAAAAGUUAUAUUUUUGAUUAAACCUUUAAAGGUUGUUAAGAAUUUUGAUAUGUUGUUAUAAGUAAAUGUUCCGGAGGCGGAACAGGAAUUUUUAUGAUUCUAUCUUAUUUUUGCAUUCAUAUGGACUGGAAUCAUAUAUCUGUUCUGCUGGCGGAACAAUUCCAAUGAGUUCUUUUAUUUGAUUUUUACUUUAAGAAAUGCAUUUGUUACAAAAUCUUGCAAAGGUUGUUCAGAAUUGUGAUAUGUUGUAAUUAAUAAAUGUUCCGCCGGCAGAACAGAAUCACUUAUGGUUAUAACCUAGUAUGUUUUGAUACAUGUUUUCAUACUUAUGUUCCGCUGGCGGAACAAUUUAAGACUGAACUAUUUUGUAAAAUAACUUCAUAUAUGUUUUAUUUAAUGUUCCGCCGGCAGAACAUUUUAGCAUUUUUGGAUUCUUGCUAUCUCGCAGAAAGAACUGCUAAAUGUUCUGCUGGCGGAACAAAUCAUGAUUUAUUUGUGAUAAUAUGCUGUAUUUUUAUAACAAAAUGAAAUAAAUUUUGUGUUAAAUAUA